ACUCAAAGGAAUUGACGGGGGCCCGCACAAGCGGAGGAGCAUGUGGUUUAAUUCGAUGAUACGCGAGGAACCUUACCUAGGCUUAAAUGUAGAGCGAUAGCCAGAGAAAUCUGGUUUUCCUUCGGGACGAUCUACAAGGUGCUGCAUGGUUGUCGUCAGCUCGUGCCGUGAGGUGUCGGGUUAAGUCCCAUAACGAGCGCAACCCCUAUUCUUUGUUGCCAUCAGGUAAUGCUGGGCACUCUAAGAAAACUGCCUACGCAAGUAGUGAGGAAGGUGGGGAUGACGUCAAAUCAGCACGGCCCUUACGCCUAGGGCUACACACGUGCUACAAUGGCCGUUACAGAGGGCAGCUACCUGGCGACAGGAUGCUAAUCUCUAAAAGCGGUCUCAGUUCGGAUUGAAGUCUGCAACCCGACUUCAUGAAGUUGGAUUCGCUAGUAAUCGCGCAUCAGCCUUGGCGCGGUGAAUACGUUCCCGGGCCUUGCACACACCGCCCGU
RNAcentral lists this ribosomal RNA (498 nucleotides) under uncultured bacterium. RNAcentral describes it as "bacterial SSU rRNA". It matches the Rfam family "Bacterial small subunit ribosomal RNA", at positions 899 to 1397 of the family's 1533-position model. The record is from RNAcentral.